AUUAAUUAUUACACAAACUGCAGUGC
RNAcentral lists this non-coding RNA (26 nucleotides) under Rattus norvegicus (Norway rat). Lineage: Eukaryota; Metazoa; Chordata; Mammalia; Rodentia; Muridae. The record is from RNAcentral.